UCACUCGUCACUGCAGUUUAUUCACCACACCCGGACUACUAACUCCAUCUGGAGAAUCAUUCGAAAUCUUAUGGCUACAUUAUAUGAAAUAUGUAUGAAAAGGGAUACGAAAUCAUUAGUUACGAUCCUGGUCUUAAAGUUCUUCGAUUUCACCAUACUUGGAAUAAGUUCUCGCUGAAAAAUUCAUUACCAUAUUUGGAUAAGAUCGGUUCUGAUAGAUGUACAUAUAUACCAAUUUAAACUCUUACUUUCAUACCAAAUUAAAUUCACGAGAAUCUUGUUUUUUUUUAAAUAACGAAUUAAACAAAUAAAUCGAGUAUAGCGCUAUUGGGGACAAUCAGCGCUACCUACAGUACGAUGAUGGAACUAAACUCCAUUCAAAUUUAUUUCAAAACGUGUUAUCAUAUUUAUUUGAAAUAUUUAUUGUAAAAAAGUGAAUAAAAAAUGUGAAAAAU
Polistes canadensis is the source of this 455-nucleotide long non-coding RNA. RefSeq lists it as uncharacterized. NCBI's taxonomy places the organism in Eukaryota, Metazoa, Arthropoda, Insecta, Hymenoptera, Vespidae. The transcript has 2 exons. The record is from RefSeq and is a predicted model, not a curated record.